This 497-nucleotide ribosomal RNA is filed under the name uncultured bacterium. Its description in RNAcentral is "partial 16S ribosomal RNA". It matches the Rfam family "Bacterial small subunit ribosomal RNA", at positions 28 to 507 of the family's 1533-position model. The record is from RNAcentral.
GAUGAACGCUGGCGGCGUGCCUAAUACAUGCAAGUCGAGCGAACGGACGAGAAGCUUGCUUUUCUGAUGUUAGCGGCGGACGGGUGAGUAACACGUGGAUCACCUACCUAUAAGACUGGGAUAACUUCGGGAAACCGGAGCUAAUACCGGAUAAUCUUUUGAACCGCAUGGUUCAAAAGUGAAAGACGGUCUUGCUGUCAGUUAUAGAUGGAUCCGAGCUGCUUUAGCUAGUUGGUAAGGUAAAGGCUUACCAAGGCAACGAUGCAUAGCCGACCUGAGAGGGUCGUCCGCCAGACUGGAUCUGAGACACGGUCCACACUCCUACGGUGGGCAGCAGUACGGACUCUUCCGCAAUGGGCGAGAGCCUGACGUAGCAACGCCGCGUGAGUGAUGAAGGUCUUCGGAUCCUAAAACUCUGUUAUUAGGGAAGAACAUAUGUGUAAGUAACUGUGCACAUCUUGACGGUACCUAAUCAGAAAGCCACGGCUAACUACGUG